GCGCCUAACACAUGCAAGUCGAACGAGAAAGUGGAGCAAUCCAUGAGUAAAGUGGCGUACGGGUGAGUAACACGUGGGUAAUCUACCUCUUUGUGGGGAAUAACCCUGGGAAACCGGGGCUAAUACCGCAUAAGCUCGAGAGAGGAAAGCAGCAAUGCGCUGAGAGAGGAGCCCGCGGCCGAUUAGCUCGUUGGCAGGGUAAAAGCCUACCAAGGCAUCGAUCGGUAGCCGGCCUGAGAGGGCACACGGCCACACUGGCACUGAAACACGGGCCAG
RNAcentral lists this ribosomal RNA (276 nucleotides) under uncultured bacterium. RNAcentral describes it as "partial 16S ribosomal RNA". It matches the Rfam family "Bacterial small subunit ribosomal RNA", at positions 44 to 334 of the family's 1533-position model. The record is from RNAcentral.